AUUAUAAUAGCUUAAUAAGAGUAUUGUUUUGAAGCAACAAGGGUGACAAAGUCUUAUAAUA
This 61-nucleotide transfer RNA is filed under the name Smilium sinense. RNAcentral's name for it is "tRNA-Phe". The record is from RNAcentral. Lineage: Eukaryota; Metazoa; Arthropoda; Thecostraca; Calanticomorpha; Calanticidae.